GAUGAACGCUGGCGGCGUGCCUAAUACAUGCAAGUCGAGCGAACGGACGAGAAGCUUGCUUCUCUGAUGUUAGCGGCGGACGGGUGAGUAACACGUGGAUAACCUACCUAUAAGACUGGGAUAACUUCGGGAAACCGGAGCUAAUACCGGAUAAUAUUUUGAACCGCAUGGUUCAAAAGUGAAAGACGGUCUUGCUGUCACUUAUAGAUGGAUCCGCGCUGCAUUAGCUAGUUGGUAAGGUAACGGCUUACCAAGGCAACGAUGGAUAGCCGACCUGAGAGGGUGAUCGGCCACACUGGACCUGAGACACGGUCCAGACUCCUACGGGAGGCAGCAGUAGGGAAUCUUCCGCAAUGGGCGAAAGCCUGACGGAGCAACGCCGCGUGAGUGAUGAAGGUCUUCGGAUCGUAAAACUCUGUUAUUAGGGAAGAACAUAUGUGUAAGUAACUGUGCACAUCUUGACGGUACCUAAUCAGAAAGCCACGGCUAACUACGUG
Molecule: ribosomal RNA, 497 nt
Filed under: uncultured bacterium
Lineage: Bacteria
Description: partial 16S ribosomal RNA
Rfam family: Bacterial small subunit ribosomal RNA
Source: RNAcentral